UUUAAUUAUAAUUAUUUAUUUAAAUUUAAUAAUUAAAUAUAAAAUUUUUUAUUAAAUAAAUUUAAUAAUAAAUGUUUUUUAAAUUCUUUGAGGUUUUGAUUUUUGAUUUUUUGUUUCUGCUCAUUGUUAAAGAAAAGCACUUUUAGCGUGAUUGGUCAAAGGUAGCGAGGUAAUUUGUUUUUUUAUUGAAUUCUAGUAUGAAUGGAUUUUUUGUUAUUAAAUAUAUUGAUUUUAAAAAGAAUUUUAAAUUUAUUUAAAAAAUAAUAAAUAAAAUAAA
Molecule: ribosomal RNA, 277 nt
Filed under: Meloidogyne sp. 1 JV-2017
Lineage: Eukaryota; Metazoa; Nematoda; Chromadorea; Rhabditida; Meloidogynidae
Description: partial 16S ribosomal RNA
Source: RNAcentral